Phrynosoma platyrhinos (Desert horned lizard) is the source of this 74-nucleotide non-coding RNA. The record is from the annotation of a GenBank genome assembly. NCBI's taxonomy places the organism in Eukaryota, Metazoa, Chordata, Lepidosauria, Squamata, Phrynosomatidae.
CCUUGAGUAAGUUAUAGUGGUUUGAGUGCUGGACUACAACUCUGAGGGCCAGGGUUCAAUUCCCCGCUUGAGCA